This 493-nucleotide ribosomal RNA is filed under the name uncultured bacterium. RNAcentral describes it as "partial 16S ribosomal RNA". It matches the Rfam family "Bacterial small subunit ribosomal RNA", at positions 29 to 507 of the family's 1533-position model. The record is from RNAcentral.
AGUGAACGCUGGCGGUAGGCCUAACACAUGCAAGUCGAACGGCAGCACAGUAAGAGCUUGCUCUUACGGGUGGCGAGUGGCGGACGGGUGAGGAAUACAUCGGAAUCUACUUUUUCGUGGGGGAUAACGUAGGGAAACUUACGCUAAUACCGCAUACGACCUACGGGUGAAAGCAGGGGAUCUUCGGACCUUGCGCGAUUGAAUGAGCCGAUGUCGGAUUAGCUAGUUGGCGGGGUAAAGGCCCACCAAGGCGACGAUCCGUAGCUGGUCUGAGAGGAUGGACCGCCCACCUGGGAACGGAGACCCGGCCCAGACUCUUACGGGAGGAAGCAUUGGGGAAUAUUGGACAAUGGGCGCAAGCCUGAUCCAGCCAUACCGCGUGGGUGAAGAAGGCCUUCGGGUUGUAAAGCCCUUUUGUUGGGAAAGAAAAGCAGCAGGUUAAUACCCCGCUGUUCUGACGGUACCCAAAGAAUAAGCACCGGCUAACUUCGUG